This 488-nucleotide ribosomal RNA is filed under the name uncultured bacterium. Its description in RNAcentral is "bacterial SSU rRNA". It matches the Rfam family "Bacterial small subunit ribosomal RNA", at positions 36 to 518 of the family's 1533-position model. The record is from RNAcentral.
CUGGCGGCGUGCCUAAUACAUAGCAAGUCGAGCGAGAAAUACUUCAGACGAUUCUUCGGAUGAGUCAGGAAGAUGGAAAGCGGCGGACGGGUGAGUAACGCGUAGGCAACCUGCCCUCAGCAGAGGGAUAGCCAUUGGAAACGAUGAUUAAAACCUCAUAAUGCCAACACAACACAUGUUGAGCUGGCCAAAGAUUUAUCGGCCGGGGAUGGGCCUGCGUCUGAUUAACUGGUUGGUGAGGUAACGGCUCACCAAGGUAACGAUCAGUAGCCGACCUGAGAGGGUGAUCGGCCACAUUGGAACUGAGACACGGUCCAAACUUCUACGGAAGGCAGCAGUAAGGAAUCUUGCACAAUGGGGGAAACCCUGAAUGCAGCAACGCCGCGUGAACGAUGAAGGCCUUAGGGUUGUAAAGUUCUGAUCUGGGGGAAGAAGAAAGUGACGGUACCCCAGGAGAAAGCCCCGGCUAAAUACGUGCCAGCAGCCGC